AGAGUUUGAUCAUGGCUCAGGACGAACGCUGGCGGCGCGCCUAACACAUGCAAGUCGAACGGAGCUGAGAGGAGCUUGCUUUUCUCAGCUUAGUGGCGAACGGGUGAGUAACGCGUGAGUAACCUGCCCUGAAGUGGGGGACAACAGUUGGAAACGACUGCUAAUACCGCAUAAGCCCACGGAUCCGCAUGGAUCUGCGGGAAAAGGAUUUAUUCGCUUCAGGAUGGACUCGCGUCCAAUUAGCUAGUUGGUGAGGUAACGGCCCACCAAGGCGACGAUUGGUAGCCGGACUGAGAGGUUGAACGGCCACAUUGGGACUGAGACACGGCCCAGACUCCUACGGGAGGCAGCA
Molecule: ribosomal RNA, 352 nt
Filed under: uncultured bacterium
Lineage: Bacteria
Description: bacterial SSU rRNA
Rfam family: Bacterial small subunit ribosomal RNA
Source: RNAcentral